GCAGAGUAGGAUCCUGCGCGUUUACCUUUAGGGUAUCCAGUGCCUGGCGAACGGGGAGUUGUCGCCGGGACGAACAGGAAGUCUUUUGCAAAAAAUUUGAGCAAAAGCUUUCCGGCGGUGCCGGAUCCGCAUCCCGUUG
RNAcentral lists this non-coding RNA (139 nucleotides) under uncultured Catenibacillus sp. RNAcentral describes it as "THF riboswitch". It matches the Rfam family "THF (Tetrahydrofolate) riboswitch aptamer". Rfam says of the family: THF riboswitch presents a pseudoknot that joins P1-P2 and the loop of P3 and two THF binding. The record is from RNAcentral. Lineage: Bacteria; Bacillati; Bacillota; Clostridia; Lachnospirales; Lachnospiraceae.